RNAcentral lists this long non-coding RNA (1484 nucleotides) under Nicotiana tabacum (common tobacco). Its description in RNAcentral is "long non-coding RNA (NTAB_LNC001241)". Lineage: Eukaryota; Viridiplantae; Streptophyta; Magnoliopsida; Solanales; Solanaceae. The record is from RNAcentral.
CAAUAGCCAUUUAAAUAUCAAACCUUUCUGCUUCUCUGAACAACAUCCGACAUAAUACAUUAACUUGUUCACGAACACAUCAAAUGUUGUCCUAAACCCUAAACUCCUAAAACUCACAUCCAAAAAUUAUGAAGUUUAUCAACUUAGCCGUUUUUGGCUUCUUUUUCAUCAUUUUCUUCUUCUCAAAACCCUCUUUUCAAGCUUCCCCUCCUCCACCACCAAUCAAAUAUGACCAAAACCCUAGACUUUUCAAUGCUUACAUAGCUCUACAAGCUUGGAAACAUGUCAUGACUUCUGACCCUAGAAACUUCACCAAGAAUUGGUAUGGAUACAAAGUUUGCAACUACACCGGAGUUUACUGUGCUCCGGUACCAGAUAACCCUAAAAUCACUACCGUUGCCGGAAUUGACCUCAACCAUGCAAAUAUUUCCGGUUACUUGCCUGAAGAUCUUGGCCUGUUGACAGAUUUAGCCGUUUUCCAUAUAAACUCCAAUAGAUUUUCAGGCACUAUCCCAAAAUCCUUUUCUAAGCUCCAACUUCUCUAUGAACUUGACGUGAGUAACAAUCUUUUGUGUGGUGAAUUUCCUUCGGUUGUUCUUUCACUUUCUUCUUUAAAAUUUCUUGAUAUUAGGUAUAACCAAUUCGAAGGAAAUGUCCCUUCUCGACUCUGGGAUCGAAAACUGGACGCCCUUUUCAUAAACAACAACAAUUUUCAGUUUACAUGGCCUAAAAACUUAGGAAACUCGCCGGUUUCUGCUUUGGUUAUGGCAAAUAUCAAUAUCACGGGAUGUAUACCACCAAGUAUAGCAAAAAUGGGGAAAACGCUAAAUCAGAUUAUUCUCAUGAAUGCUAGUUUAAAUGGAUGUUUGCCACAAGAACUAGGGUUCUUGAAAAAUGUGACGGUUUUUGAUGUAAGCUUUAACAAUCUUGUUGGGAAGUUGCCGGAGACAAUGGCGGGCAUGAAGAAAUUGGAACAUCUCAACGUGGCACAUAACAAGCUCUCCGGCGAGAUUCCGGCGAGUAUUUGCUCGUUGCCGAGGUUGAAGAAUUUCACCUACUCUUAUAAUUAUUUCUGUGAUGAACCGAAGAUUUGUCUCAAGUUGAAGGAUAAAAAUGAUAAGAAGAAUUGUAUACCCUAUAGGCCAUCACAACGUUCAGUUAAUGAAUGUAAGGCUUUUUAUUCACGAGGUCCAGUUGAUUGCCGUUCAUUUGGUUGUGGAUCAAGAAGUCCUCCACCACCCCCGCCACCUCCUCCACCACCGCCACCGCCACCUCCUCCGAAAUCACAUUAUUACCAUUAUCCGUGAUUGAAGAAUAUAUUGUGUUUCUUUGACUUUGGUUUGCUUUUACUUGAUUGGGUAGGUUUUGAACUAAAAGGGAAAAGGAAAAUAAAAAAAUGAGGCUGUGUUAUCUUUCAAUAAAUUAUAUACAUGUAAGAAAGGUAGACUUUUUCUUAUUUAUUGUAUUUUACUUUUCUUAUUGCA